AAACACUCACUCUCCCACAAUGGGAAGAACCCUGGUGUCCAGAGCUACCUCCUCCUCCCGAGGUCCCCAAGCUGGGCCAGGGAAGUGACUCUGGCUGUUAGCCACAGCCCACGCCUACCCUUGCCCUGUGAUUCAGACACCCGAGUUCAGAGCCAGCCUCCAAGAGUAUCUUACAUCCCAGCGUCUCCUGGAAGGCCGUAUGAUCCAGCACUGGGGAGAGGAGGGAAAUCCCCAGGACUCGAAUGCCCAUCCCACCCUCGGUGUAGUGAGGACUCAUCCUGCUGGAAAGGCCCCUGAAGAACUUCAAGUUCCAAUGUCCCGUUUUUACAGAUGGGGAAACUGACAUGAAGAGGAGUCCAAAGUGACACAGUCAGGCCAGAAAUGUUGCUUCUGAAGUCCUGAGUCCACCUCCUAGCACUGCCAAGCAGUCCACCUGGAGGUGAUGAGAACUUCCAGGCUUUGGUAAUGGACAACUCUGUAUCCCUGGAGCCUUCAUUCCUUUUGGCAUUACAGAACCACAAGAAGUCAUCUAGAAUCAUUGAGAUUCUCAACUCCAUUGGGCAAACUGGAACCAGCAAAAUCUCAGAUAUCUAGAAUUGCCACUGCUUCCUUGACUCUGUGAUCAGUCUACAGCCACAGAAUCCUGAUUCCCUUUGGACAUUCUAGAAUGGCACUUAAAAAAAAAAUAACAACCCACCCAGUGGAUCCUUUCAAAGCA
RNAcentral lists this non-coding RNA (718 nucleotides) under Pan troglodytes (chimpanzee). The record is from RNAcentral. Lineage: Eukaryota; Metazoa; Chordata; Mammalia; Primates; Hominidae.